This 1532-nucleotide ribosomal RNA is filed under the name bacterium NTL135. RNAcentral describes it as "bacterial SSU rRNA". It matches the Rfam family "Bacterial small subunit ribosomal RNA". The record is from RNAcentral.
AGAGUUUGAUCAUGGCUCAGAUUGAACGCUGGCGGCAGGCCUAACACAUGCAAGUCGAGCGGUAGCACAGAGAGCUUGCUCUCGGGUGACGAGCGGCGGACGGGUGAGUAAUGUCUGGGAAACUGCCUGAUGGAGGGGGAUAACUACUGGAAACGGUAGCUAAUACCGCAUAACGUCGCAAGACCAAAGAGGGGGACCUUCGGGCCUCUUGCCAUCAGAUGUGCCCAGAUGGGAUUAGCUAGUAGGUGGGGUAACGGCUCACCUAGGCGACGAUCCCUAGCUGGUCUGAGAGGAUGACCAGCCACACUGGAACUGAGACACGGUCCAGACUCCUACGGGAGGCAGCAGUGGGGAAUAUUGCACAAUGGGCGCAAGCCUGAUGCAGCCACGCCGCGUGUAUGAAGAAGGCCUUCGGGUUGUAAAGUACUUUCAGCGGGGAGGAAGGCGAUAAGGUUAAUAACCUUGUCGAUUGACGUUACCCGCAGAAGAAGCACCGGCUAACUCCGUGCCAGCAGCCGCGGUAAUACGGAGGGUGCAAGCGUUAAUCGGAAUUACUGGGCGUAAAGCGCACGCAGGCGGUCUGUCAAGUCGGAUGUGAAAUCCCCGGGCUCAACCUGGGAACUGCAUUCGAAACUGGCAGGCUAGAGUCUUGUAGAGGGGGGUAGAAUUCCAGGUGUAGCGGUGAAAUGCGUAGAGAUCUGGAGGAAUACCGGUGGCCAAGGCGGCCCCCUGGACAAAGACUGACGCUCAGGUGCGAAAGCGUGGGGAGCAAACAGGAUUAGAUACCCUGGUAGUCCACGCCGUAAACGAUGUCGACUUGGAGGUUGUGCCCUUGAGGCGUGGCUUCCGGAGCUAACGCGUUAAGUCGACCGCCUGGGGAGUACGGCCGCAAGGUUAAAACUCAAAUGAAUUGACGGGGGCCCGCACAAGCGGUGGAGCAUGUGGUUUAAUUCGAUGCAACGCGAAGAACCUUACCUACUCUUGACAUCCAGAGAACUUUCCAGAGAUGGAUUGGUGCCUUCGGGAACUCUGAGACAGGUGCUGCAUGGCUGUCGUCAGCUCGUGUUGUGAAAUGUUGGGUUAAGUCCCGCAACGAGCGCAACCCUUAUCCUUUGUUGCCAGCGGUUCGGCCGGGAACUCAAAGGAGACUGCCAGUGAUAAACUGGAGGAAGGUGGGGAUGACGUCAAGUCAUCAUGGCCCUUACGAGUAGGGCUACACACGUGCUACAAUGGCGCAUACAAAGAGAAGCGACCUCGCGAGAGCAAGCGGACCUCAUAAAGUGCGUCGUAGUCCGGAUUGGAGUCUGCAACUCGACUCCAUGAAGUCGGAAUCGCUAGUAAUCGUAGAUCAGAAUGCUACGGUGAAUACGUUCCCGGGCCUUGUACACACCGCCCGUCACACCAUGGGAGUGGGUUGCAAAAGAAGUAGGUAGCUUAACCUUCGGGAGGGCGCUUACCACUUUGUGAUUCAUGACUGGGGUGAAGUCGUAACAAGGUAACCGUAGGGGAACCUGCGGUUGGAUCACCUCCUU